UUGGGAAGAUUCCCCUGGAGAAGGAAAUAGCAACCCACUCCAGUAUUCUUUUCUGGAAAAUCCUAUGGACAAAGGAGCUUGGUGGGCUGCAGUCCAUGGGGUCACAAAGAGUCAGACAUGACUCAAUGAUGGAGCAACAUGAAACCCAGAUGAGUGAAAGAGAGGAAAAACUUUAUCCCUGGUCAGCUUGAAGUAUUGCUCUGUAAACUGAUCCAUCCUGCUGAUUUUUCAAAGUCUGCAGAAGCCUGAGUGGCCUGUUGCACAGUCUACCCAAGGGACAUGGACUUGGUCAUCCAUGGCACAGAAGAGAUCCGACCUCAAAUCGAGAUAAAGGCAUAUUCUCUAAGAAGACAUUUGAGGUUCAAACACCUUAAUGUUGAAUUUCAGGCAACUUCUCAGCUCAAUGAGGAAGAAACAUCAGGGCAGUGUGCUGCUUUAAGGGCAUUUGAAUACACAAGAUACCAUGAUUUUUCCUGACAACACAGGGCAGGUGGACACACCUGUUAUCUAAAUUAUGCGAUUUAUCCAGUUGAAGAGGCUUCUUGUAAGUAAAUAACAUGAAAAAUUUUCAUAUUCUUACAUAUAAUAAGACCGUGUAACAACUUUGCUCCAAUUUUUAAUUAAAUAGCAUAUUAAGUCACUUUUCCCCAGUGACUUAAAGUGGAAUAACUUGAGAUAAAUAAAUCAUAUAAUUCAUGAUUAGAUUGUUUAGUCAUUCAGUCGUGNNNNNNNNNNNNNGACCCCAUGGAUUGUAGCCCUCCAGGCUCCUCUGCCUAUGGGAUUCUCCAGGGAAGAAUACUGCAGUGGGUUGUCAUUUCAUCCUCCAGGGGAUCUUCCUGACCCAGGGAUCAAACUCACAUCUUCUGCAUUGGCAGGUGGGUUCUUUACCUCUGAACCACCCGGGAAGCCUAUGCUUAAGUUAGUAAAGAAAAUUAAAAGCUCAUUUACAAAGUCGAAUACAUUGUGUAAAUAGUGUUGAUAUUACAAACAACUUCAGCUUUCAAAUUUAUUCAUACAUCUGAACUGUCCUCUCCAAAACUCCUAAUAGACUUUCUGAGGGUAUCUAAAUUGUACAGGAUUUUAUGUGUAUUUUAGUGGUCCUUCAGUCCCAGAGUAGUAGAUAAUUGAAAUAUGUCUUUUGAAUGUAGAUUGUAUACUGAUCAUCUCAUCAACUCCUAGAACCUAUCUGAGACAACAGCUAUGAUGAAAAGCAGAGUCUGGACAUAUAAUCUGAAAGGACAGUUGAUUCUGUGCUC
This 1256-nucleotide long non-coding RNA is filed under the name Capra hircus (goat). RNAcentral describes it as "lncRNA (ENSCHIG00010015983.1)". Lineage: Eukaryota; Metazoa; Chordata; Mammalia; Artiodactyla; Bovidae. The record is from RNAcentral.